Molecule: long non-coding RNA, 400 nt
Organism: Alnus glutinosa
Lineage: Eukaryota; Viridiplantae; Streptophyta; Magnoliopsida; Fagales; Betulaceae
Exons: 2
Source: RefSeq, a predicted model, not a curated record
AGCUGGCCAUGGAAUCCUUCUUCACAAAUAGGUUGUCUUAAUCCUUAUGCGUUAGAGCAGUAACUUGUCAUUGAUCAUCUAUUUCUUUCACAUCUACACAUUGGAUCCUCGAUGGUGGUGGAACUGACCAGAUCAGUGAUCUAACUGCAUUGAUCCAUUCUAUCCUUGUUCGUAACCACACAGUACUACUACUUGAUGAGUCGCAUGCAAACAUCAAAUGAUUGGGAUGGGAACAGAGCAAGAUGGCUUAUACAGCUUCAUCGAGAUGGAGAUCGCUAGAUGUCAGGUGGCGACAUCUUUGUAUAUGUAUCUCCUAGUUCUAGCAUAGUUGAUUACGACAUUUCUCAAAUUAAAUAAAAUGUUACCCCUUCUUUCUAAUAAAAUUCUAUAAAUUUCUUGA